UGGGCGCUAGGCUGAUCCAGCUAUGCCGCGUGAGUGAAGAAGGCCUUCGGGUUGUAAAGCUCUUUUGUCAGGGAAGAAACGGUGGGAGCUAAUAUCUCUCGCUAAUGACGGUACCUGAAGAAUAAGCACCGGCUAACUACGUGCCAGCAGCCGCGGUAAUACGUAGGGUGCAAGCGUUAAUCGGAAUUACUGGGCGUAAAGCGUGCGCAGGCGGUUUUGUAAGUCUGACGUGAAAGCCCCGGGCUCAACCUGGGAAUUGCGUUGGAGACUGCAAGGCUUGAAUCUGGCAGAGGGGGGUAGAAUUCCACGUGUAGCAGUGAAAUGCGUAGAGAUGUGGAGGAACACCGAUGGCGAAGGCAGCCCCCUGGGUCAAGAUUGACGCUCAUGCACGAAAGCGUGGGGAGCAAACAGGAUUAGAUACCCUGGUAGUCCACGCCCUAAACGAUGUCUACUAGUUGUCCGGGUUUUAAUUAACUUGGUAACGCAGCUAACGCGUGAAGUAGACCGCCUGGGGAGUACGGUCGCAAGAUUAAAACUC
This 538-nucleotide ribosomal RNA is filed under the name uncultured Massilia sp. RNAcentral's name for it is "bacterial SSU rRNA". It matches the Rfam family "Bacterial small subunit ribosomal RNA", at positions 372 to 902 of the family's 1533-position model. The record is from RNAcentral. Lineage: Bacteria; Pseudomonadati; Pseudomonadota; Betaproteobacteria; Burkholderiales; Oxalobacteraceae.